GACGAACGCUGGCGGCGUGCUUAACACAUGCAAGUCGUGCGGUAAGGCCCUUUCGGGGGUACACGAGCGGCGAACGGGUGAGUAACACGUGAGCAACCUGCCCUUCACUUUGGGAUAACUGCCGGAAACGGUGGCUAAUACCGGAUAUGACCUCCUCACGCAUGUGGGGUGGUGGAAAGCCUUCGGGUGGUGGGGGAUGGGCUCGCGGUCUAUCAGCUUGUUGGUGGGGUGAUGGCCUACCAAGGCUUCGACGGGUAGCCGGCCUGAGAGGGUGACCGGCCACACUGGGACUGAGACACGGCCCAGACUCCUACGGGAGGCAGCAGUGGGGAAUAUUGGACAAUGGGCGAAAGCCUGAUCCAGCAACGCCGCGUGAGGGAUGACGGCCUUCGGGUUGUAAACCUCUUUCGCCUGCGACGAAGCGAGAGUGACGGUAGCAGGUAAAGAAGCACCGGCCAACUACGUG
This 466-nucleotide ribosomal RNA is filed under the name uncultured bacterium. Its description in RNAcentral is "partial 16S ribosomal RNA". It matches the Rfam family "Bacterial small subunit ribosomal RNA", at positions 28 to 507 of the family's 1533-position model. The record is from RNAcentral.